GGUCAAGCGGGAAAAAGCACCAGCUCUCUCGGUCAUGAUCGUUCCCUGACACGGAAGAGGUCACUGGUUCAAACCCAGUAGCGCCCACCA
RNAcentral lists this transfer RNA (90 nucleotides) under Micromonospora luteifusca. Its description in RNAcentral is "tRNA-Val". The record is from RNAcentral. Lineage: Bacteria; Bacillati; Actinomycetota; Actinomycetes; Micromonosporales; Micromonosporaceae.